CCUACGGGAGGCAGCAGUAGGGAAUCUUCCACAAUGGACGCAAGUCUGAAGGAGCAACGCCGCGUGAGUGAAGAAGGUUUUCGGAUCGUAAAGCUCCGUUGUUGGGGAAGAAGGAUAUAGGAAGUAACUGGCCUAUAUUUGACGGUAAUCAACCAGAAAGUCACGGCUAACUACGUGCCAGCAGCCGCGGUAAUACGUAGGUGGCAAGCGUUGUCCGGUUUUAUUGGGCGUAAAGCGAGCGCAGGCGGAGAAAUAAGGCUGAUGUGAAAGCCCACGGCCCAACCGUGGAGUUGCAUCGGAAACUG
This 305-nucleotide ribosomal RNA is filed under the name uncultured bacterium. RNAcentral's name for it is "bacterial SSU rRNA". It matches the Rfam family "Bacterial small subunit ribosomal RNA", at positions 338 to 635 of the family's 1533-position model. The record is from RNAcentral.